Molecule: ribosomal RNA, 760 nt
Filed under: uncultured bacterium
Lineage: Bacteria
Description: bacterial SSU rRNA
Rfam family: Bacterial small subunit ribosomal RNA
Source: RNAcentral
GCGAACGGGUGCGUAACACGUGAGCAAUCUGCCUAGAUGUGGGGGAUAGCCGGCCCAACGGCCGGGUAAUACCGCAUACGCUCUCCGGGUGGCAUCACCUGGUGAGGAAACAUUCGUGGCAUCUAGAGGAGCUCGCGGCCUAUCAGCUAGUUGGUGGGGUAACGGCCUACCAAGGCUUUGACGGGUAGCUGGUCUGAGAGGAUGGCCAGCCACAUUGGGACUGAGAUACGGCCCAGACUCCUACGGGAGGCAGCAGUGGGGAAUAUUGCGCAAUGGCCGAAAGGCUGACGCAGCGACGCCGCGUGGGGGAUGAAGCAUUUCGGUGUGUAAACCCCUGUUGCUCGGGACGAACAAUCGGCUUUAGCCGAUCUGACGGUACCGGGUGAGGAAGCACCGGCUAACUCCGUGCCAGCAGCCGCGGUAAUACGGAGGGUGCGAGCGUUGUCCGGAAUCACUGGGCGUAAAGGGCGCGUAGGCGGUCUGCUAAGCGUGCAGUGAAAGCCUGGGGCUCAACCCCAGGUCUGCCGUGCGAACUGGUGGACUAGAGCACUGUAGAGGCAGGUGGAAUUCCGGGUGUAGCGGUGGAAUGCGUAGAGAUCCGGAAGAACACCGGUGGCGAAGGCGGCCUGCUGGGCAGUUGCAGACGAUGAGGCGUGACAGCGUGGGGAGCAAUCAGGAUUUGAUACCAUGGUAGUCCACGCAGUAACAGAUGGGCAAUAGGUGCUUGGGGGAGCGACCCCCCGAGUUCCGGCGAUAACGC